CAUACUAGACUACUAAGAUCUGAAAUCUAAUUUCGUAUGCAAUCACAUCAACAUGCAAUUUUGACAAAAUAAUUUAUGUCGUGAACAUAUCUUUGAUCUUAUCAAUAAUUAGAUUUGAUGCAUCAUAUACAUCAUAUCAUAUCUAAAAUAUAUCUUAUACUAAUUAUAAAAUAUUAAUUUUAGAUCUGAUAUCAUCUAAAAAAUUAAUUAGAUGUA
Molecule: long non-coding RNA, 216 nt
Filed under: Elaeis guineensis (African oil palm)
Lineage: Eukaryota; Viridiplantae; Streptophyta; Magnoliopsida; Arecales; Arecaceae
Description: long non-coding RNA (EGUI_LNC051098)
Source: RNAcentral